CCUACGGGAGGCAGCAGUGAGGAAUAUUGGUCAAUGGCCGGAAGGCUGAACCAGCCAUGCCGCGUGAAGGUCAGUGCCCUAUGGGCGUUAAACUUCUUUUGUGCGGGAGCAAUAAUGGUCACGUGUGGCCAGACGAGAGUACCGUACGAAUAAGCAUCGGCUAACUCCGUGCCAGCAGCCGCGGUAAUACGUAUGGUGCAAGCGUUAUCCGGAUUUACUGGGUGUAAAGGGAGCGCAGGCGGCGCGGUAAGCCUGGUGUGAAAGCCCGCGGCCCAACCGCGGGACUGGAUUGGGAACUGGCGCGCUGGAGUGCCGGAGGGGUAGGCGGAAUUCCGAGUGGAGCGGUGAAAAGCGGAGAUAUUAGGAGGAACACCAGGGGCGAAGUCGGCCUACUGGAAGGUGACUGACGCUGAGGCUCGAAAGCGUGGGGAGCAAACAGGAUUAGAUACCCCAGUAGUC
RNAcentral lists this ribosomal RNA (459 nucleotides) under uncultured bacterium. RNAcentral describes it as "partial 16S ribosomal RNA". It matches the Rfam family "Bacterial small subunit ribosomal RNA", at positions 338 to 795 of the family's 1533-position model. The record is from RNAcentral.